UGGGCAACCUGCCCCGAUGACUGGGACAACCCGAGGAAACUCGGGCUAAUACCGGAUGUGCUCCCUCACAUCAGUGAGGUGAGUAAAGGAAGCUUCGGCCUCCGCAUUGGGAUGGGCCCGCGGCCCAUUAGCUUGUUGGUGGGGUAAUGGCCUACCAAGGCAACGAUGGGUAGCUGGUCUGAGAGGACGAUCAGCCACACUGGGACUGAGACACGGCCCAGACUCCGUAGGAGG
Molecule: ribosomal RNA, 234 nt
Filed under: uncultured bacterium
Lineage: Bacteria
Description: partial 16S ribosomal RNA
Rfam family: Bacterial small subunit ribosomal RNA
Source: RNAcentral